ACAAGGGAUCCAUGGAAAGAGCAUUCCCAGAAGGGGGGCCAGGGCAGUGCGCACAGUGAGGAGAGCAGGUGUGUGCGAGGUUGAAACAAAACGUUCAAAGCCCCCUCGGAAGCCCAUCCACAGUUGAGGAAACUGGGCCCUGAGACAUUAACUUGCCCAAAAGAUCACAGUGGGCAACAUUCUAGAGCACAAUGGAAGCCGACAGCAAUGUCAGUGAAGACUGAAAACAGAACGUGGAGAGAGAUGUAGCUUACUAGAGCCCUGUGGCUUCAAUCCCCACCAGGAAUGUCGUUUAAGAGGAAGGUGAUCUAGCACAAAUUCACAUUUGCUUGAGGAAGAAUACAAACGACAUAUCACACACCAACCGUGUGCAAAGCACUCUACCUAAAGAUCAGCGCUAACAGAGGAAUAAGCAGAGGCCUCCAGGAGCAAAGAGUGAAAAGUCUGGCAAGGCUUCAAGUACGGGGGAAGUGGGUGGAGCUUUCACCGUAGAAUCUUUCCUAGAGAAAAAGCAAAGAGUGGGGCAACAAUAAAGGCAUUAAAAAUAACUGUCAAGUUGAAGAAAAAGUAUUUUGCCAAAGACUGAGGAUUCGGAUAUGACUACGGAAAGGAAAACUAAGCUCCAUGAGAAGAGGGGACUUGCCCAUGUGGCUCAGGGCUCUAUGCCCAGUGCCCUAGACAGUGCCUGACUGUGUGUGCGGAAUGAAUGAAUAACCUUGGUGAUCCACCCAAUGGCACUGGCGCUCAGUGACCUCAUCUGAAAUGAAAACCUUAACGCAUCAUCAGUUACUGAUUAAACACCUAUCAUAGAUGAAGUAUUAUGGUCUUAAAUCAUUCAGACAAUUCAGACCAAUACAUCUAAAUACAGUGCCUUUCUCAUGAGCUGUAAAUGAAAU
RNAcentral lists this long non-coding RNA (896 nucleotides) under Pan troglodytes (chimpanzee). RNAcentral's name for it is "long non-coding RNA NONPTRT009595". Lineage: Eukaryota; Metazoa; Chordata; Mammalia; Primates; Hominidae. The record is from RNAcentral.